Molecule: ribosomal RNA, 405 nt
Filed under: uncultured bacterium
Lineage: Bacteria
Description: bacterial SSU rRNA
Rfam family: Bacterial small subunit ribosomal RNA
Source: RNAcentral
CGGGAAUAUUGCGCACUGGAGGAAACUCUGACGCAGUGACGCCGCGUAUAGGAAGAAGGUCUUCGGAUUGUAAACUAUUGUCGUUAGGGAAGAGAAAGGACAGUACCUAAGGAGGAAGCUCCGGCUAACUACGUGCUAGCAGCCGCGGUAAUACGUAGGGAGCGAGCGUUAUCCGGAUUUAUUGGGUGUAAAGGGUGCGUAGACGGGAAAAUAAGUUAGUUGUGAAAUCCCUCGGCUUAACUGAGGAACUGCAACUAAAACUAUUUUUCUUGAGUGCAGGAGAGGAAAGUGGAAUUCCUAGUGUAGCGGUGAAAUGCGUAGAUAUUAGGAGGAACACCAGUGGCGAAGGCGACUUUCUGGACUGUAACUGACGUUGAGGCACGAAAGUGUGGGGAGCAAACAGGA